RNAcentral lists this unclassified non-coding RNA (165 nucleotides) under soil metagenome. RNAcentral's name for it is "partial contains 5.8S ribosomal RNA, internal transcribed spacer 2, and large subunit ribosomal RNA". The record is from RNAcentral.
AACGCACGAGACCUGCGGACCUGCGAAGGAUCAUUAGUGAACGCCCUCACGGGCUUAUAACUAUUCCAAACCUCUGUGAACCGUGCCCUUCGGGGCUAUUUUACAAACAUGGUGUAAUGAACGUCAUAUAUCAUAACAAAACAAAACUUUUAGCAAUGGAUCUCU